UUUUAUUGAGAGUUUGAUCCUGGCUCAGGAUGAACGCUGGCGGCGUGCUUAACACAUGCAAGUCGAACGGAGCACCCCUGAUGGAG
Molecule: ribosomal RNA, 86 nt
Filed under: Ruminiclostridium sp.
Lineage: Bacteria; Bacillati; Bacillota; Clostridia; Eubacteriales; Oscillospiraceae
Description: partial 16S ribosomal RNA
Rfam family: Bacterial small subunit ribosomal RNA
Source: RNAcentral